CAUAAACGACUCUCGGCAACGGAUAUCUCGGCUCACGCAUCGAUGAAGAACGUAGCAAAAUGCGAUACUUGGUGUGAAUUGCAGAAUCCCGUGAACCAUCGAGUUUUUGAACGCAAGUUGCGCCCGAAGCCUUUUGGYUGAGGGCACGUCUGCCUGGGCGUCACAC
RNAcentral lists this ribosomal RNA (166 nucleotides) under Senecio bipinnatisectus. Its description in RNAcentral is "5.8S ribosomal RNA". It matches the Rfam family "5.8S ribosomal RNA". From Rfam's summary of the family: 5.8S ribosomal RNA (5.8S rRNA) is a component of the large subunit of the eukaryotic ribosome. It is transcribed by RNA polymerase I as part of the 45S precursor that also contains 18S and 28S rRNA. Functionally, it is thought that 5.8S rRNA may be involved in ribosome translocation. Lineage: Eukaryota; Viridiplantae; Streptophyta; Magnoliopsida; Asterales; Asteraceae. The record is from RNAcentral.